RNAcentral lists this ribosomal RNA (458 nucleotides) under uncultured bacterium. Its description in RNAcentral is "partial 16S ribosomal RNA". It matches the Rfam family "Bacterial small subunit ribosomal RNA", at positions 29 to 507 of the family's 1533-position model. The record is from RNAcentral.
AACGAACGCUGGCGGCAUGCCUAACACAUGCAAGUCGAACGAGACCUUCGGGACUAGUGGCGCACGGGUGCGUCACGCGUGGGAAGCUGCACUUAGGGUCGGCAUACCUCCCCGACAGGGGUGCUAAUACCGGAUAAUGUCUUCUGCCCAAAGAUUUAUCGCCUUUGGAUGGGCCCGCGUUGGAUUAGCUAGUUGGUAGGGUAAAAGCCUACCAAGGCAACGAUCCAUAGCUGGUCUGAGAGGCUGCUCAGCGACACUGGGACUGAGACACGGCCCAGACUCGUACGGGAGGAAGCAGUAGGGAAUCCUCCGCAAUGGGCGAAAGCCUGACGGAGCAAGACCGCGUGAGUGAUGAAGGUCUUCGGAUCGUAAAGCUCUGUUAUUAGGGAAGAACAUAUGUGUAGGUAACUGUGCACAUCUUGACGGUACCUAAUCAGAAAGCCACGGCUAACUACGUG